CUGAAAGGCUUUGUGAAUAACUUUUAAGAGAAAACUCCUAGCUAAAAUAUUUUAGUGCGAUUUAGGAGUACUCCUAGUGGUAAGAUAAAAGGCUUUGUGAAUACGGCCCCAGAGGUCUAUGAUGGUCGGACGUGACAAACUUGUGUGCAGAAGACUCCAGAAAACGCAGUCUAGAUUUGGCGCCCAGUGAAACCAAGUGAAACGAUGUGUGGGUAUGAAGGAUUGUGCCACCACGAAAACUCAGAGAAGCUCAAUGCCACUGAAAAGAGGCCGGCAGCUUCUUAAAAAAGACUGCGCUAGACCAUCUGAUCAAAUUGCUGAACAAACAGCGUACCAAAAUGCCUACGUUAUGCACUGUGGAACGCUCUGCCGAUGAACAGCUGUGGAAUCCGCAAAGGUCAAGAAGGCUUUUGUUACGAGGGCUGGAGGUUCCAAAACAUCCAUGAAGCUGGGGAUAAAAGACGCAGAUUGACCAGCCCACGCUUUCAUCCACCAUUGUACACAGUAUGGCAC
Alosa sapidissima (American shad) is the source of this 513-nucleotide long non-coding RNA. RefSeq lists it as uncharacterized. The record is from RefSeq and is a predicted model, not a curated record. NCBI's taxonomy places the organism in Eukaryota, Metazoa, Chordata, Actinopteri, Clupeiformes, Clupeidae. The transcript has 4 exons.